Molecule: ribosomal RNA, 301 nt
Filed under: uncultured bacterium
Lineage: Bacteria
Description: partial 16S ribosomal RNA
Rfam family: Bacterial small subunit ribosomal RNA
Source: RNAcentral
CAGCCGCCGCGGGAAUACGAAGGGGGCUAGCGUUGCUCGGAAUGACUGGGCGUAAAGGGCGCGUAGGCGGUUUUCCAAGUUAGAUGUGAAAUUCCUGGGCUUAACCUGGGGGCUGCAUUUGAUACUGGGAGGCUUGAGUGUGGAAGAGGGUCGUGGAAUUCCCAGUGUAGAGGUGAAAUUCGUAGAUAUUGGGAAGAACACCGGUGGCGAAGGCGGCGACCUGGUCCAUAACUGACGCUGAGGCGCGAAAGCGUGGGGAGCAAACAGGAUUAGAUACCCCCGUAGUCCCUGUCUCUUAUAC